UGCUGGAGGUAUCAGAAGUGCGAAUGCUGACAUAAGUAACGAUAAAGCGGGUGAAAAGCCCGCUCGCCGGAAGACCAAGGGUUCCUGUCCAACGUUAAUCGGGGCAGGGUGAGUCGACCCCUAAGGCGAGGCCGAAAGGCGUAGUCGAUGGGAAACGGGUUAAUAUUCCCGUACUUGGUGUUACUGCGAAGGGGGGACGGAGAAGGCUAUGUUGGCCGGGCGACGGUUGUCCCGGUUUAAGCGUGUAGGCUGGUUUUCCAGGCAAAUCCGGAAAAUCAAGGCUGAGGCGUGAUGACGAGGCACUACGGUGCUGAAGCAACAAAUGCCCUGCUUCCAGGAAAAGCCUCUAAGCAUCAGGUAACAUCAAAUCGUACCCCAAACCGACACAGGUGGUCAGGUAGAGAAUACCAAGGCGCUUGAGAGAACUCGGGUGAAGGAACUAGGCAAAAUGGUGCCGUAACUUCGGGAGAAGGCACGCUGACACGUAGGUGAAGUGAUUUACUCAUGGAGCUGAAGUCAGUCGAAGAUACCAGCUGGCUGCAACUGUUUAUUAAAAACACAGCACUGUGCAAACACGAAAGUGGACGUAUACGGUGUGACGCCUGCCCGGUGCCGGAAGGUUAAUUGAUGGGGUCAGCGCAAGCGAAGCUCCUGAUCGAAGCCCCGGUAAACGGCGGCCGUAACUAUAACGGUCCUAAGGUAGCGAAAUUCCUUGUCGGGUAAGUUCCGACCUGCACGAAUGGCGUAAUGAUGGCCAGGCUGUCUCCACCCGAGACUCAGUGAAAUUGAACUCGCUGUGAAGAUGCAGUGUACCCGCGGCAAGACGGAAAGACCCCGUGAACCUUUACUAUAGCUUGACACUGAACAUUGAGCCUUGAUGUGUAGGAUAGGUGGGAGGCUUUGAAGUGUGGACGCCAGUCUGCAUGGAGCCGACCUUGAAAUACCACCCUUUAAUGUUUGAUGUUCUAACGUGGACCCGUAAUCCGGGUUGCGGACAGUGUCUGGUGGGUAGUUUGACUGGGGCGGUCUCCUCCUAAAGAGUAACGGAGGAGCACGAAGGUUGGCUAAUCCUGGUCGGACAUCAGGAGGUUAGUGCAAUGGCAUAAGCCAGCUUGACUGCGAGCGUGACGGCGCGAGCAGGUGCGAAAGCAGGUCAUAGUGAUCCGGUGGUUCUGAAUGGAAGGGCCAUCGCUCAACGGAUAAAAGGUACUCCGGGGAUAACAGGCUGAUACCGCCCAAGAGUUCAUAUCGACGGCGGUGUUUGGCACCUCGAUGUCGGCUCAUCACAUCCUGGGGCUGAAGUAGGUCCCAAGGGUAUGGCUGUUCGCCAUUUAAAGUGGUACGCGAGCUGGGUUUAGAACGUCGUGAGACAGUUCGGUCCCUAUCUGCCGUGGGCGCUGGAGAACUGAGGGGGGCUGCUCCUAGUACGAGAGGACCGGAGUGGACGCAUCACUGGUGUUCGGGUUGUCAUGCCAAUGGCACUGCCCGGUAGCUAAAUGCGGAAGAGAUAAGUGCUGAAAGCAUCUAAGCACGAAACUUGCCCCGAGAUGAGUUCUCCCUGAGACUUAGAGUCUCCUGAAGGAACGUUGAAGACGACGACGUUGAUAGGCCGGGUGUGUAAGCGCAGCGAUGCGUUGAGCUAACCGGUACUAAUGAACCGUGAGGCUUAACCUUACAACGCCGAAG
Molecule: ribosomal RNA, 1686 nt
Filed under: Salmonella enterica
Lineage: Bacteria; Pseudomonadati; Pseudomonadota; Gammaproteobacteria; Enterobacterales; Enterobacteriaceae
Also listed under: 1 other name
Description: bacterial LSU rRNA
Rfam family: Bacterial large subunit ribosomal RNA
Source: RNAcentral